AGAGUUUGAGUCCUGGACGCAGGACGAACGCUGGCGGCACGCCUAACACAUGCAAGUCGAACGGACGAGAGGAAGCUUGCUUCCUCAAGUUAGUGGCGGACGGGUGAGUAACACGUGAGCAACCUGCCUCUGAGAGAGGGAUAGCUUCUGGAAACGGAUGGUAAUACCUCAUAACAUAGUGAAAUCGCAUGAUUUGUUAUCAAAGAAAUUCGCUCAGAGAUGGGCUCGCGUCUGAUUAGAUAGUUGGUGAGGUAACGGCUCACCAAGUCGACGAUCAGUAGCCGGACUGAGAGGUUGAACGGCCACAUUGGGACUGAGACACGGCCCAGACUCCUACGAGAGGCAGCAGUGGGGAAUAUUGCACAAUGGGGGAAACCCUGAUGCAGCGAUGCCGCGUGGAGGAAGAAGGUUUUCGGAUUGUAAACUCCUUUUAUCAGGGACGAUAAUGACGGUACCUGAAGAAAAAGCUCCGGCUAACUACGUG
Molecule: ribosomal RNA, 484 nt
Filed under: uncultured Ruminococcus sp.
Lineage: Bacteria; Bacillati; Bacillota; Clostridia; Eubacteriales; Oscillospiraceae
Description: bacterial SSU rRNA
Rfam family: Bacterial small subunit ribosomal RNA
Source: RNAcentral